RNAcentral lists this ribosomal RNA (428 nucleotides) under uncultured prokaryote. RNAcentral describes it as "bacterial SSU rRNA". It matches the Rfam family "Bacterial small subunit ribosomal RNA", at positions 355 to 774 of the family's 1533-position model. The record is from RNAcentral.
UGAGGAAUAUUGCGCAAUGGGGGCAACCCUGACGCAGCAACGCCGCGUGAGUGAGGAAGGUUUUCGGACCGUAAAGCUCUGUCGAGUGGGAAGAAAUGCAUGGUGGCUAAUAUCCAUCAUGCUUGACGGUACCGCUAAAGGAAGCACCGGCUAACUCCGUGCCAGCAGCCGCGGUAAUACGGGGGGUGCUAGCGUUGUUCGGAAUCAUUGGGCGUAAAGAGCGUGUAGGCGGCUGGAUAAGUCAGAUGUGAAAGCCCUGGGCUUAACCCAGGAAGUGCAUUUGAAACUGUUCAGCUAGAGUAAGGGAGAGGAAAGUGGAAUUCCUGGUGUAGAGGUGAAAUUCGUAGAUAUCAGGAGGAACACCGGUGGCGAAGGCGACUUUCUGGCCCUAUACUGACGCUGAGACGCGAGAGCGUGGGUAGCAAACA